RNAcentral lists this ribosomal RNA (440 nucleotides) under uncultured Alphaproteobacteria bacterium. Its description in RNAcentral is "bacterial SSU rRNA". It matches the Rfam family "Bacterial small subunit ribosomal RNA", at positions 37 to 524 of the family's 1533-position model. The record is from RNAcentral. Lineage: Bacteria; Pseudomonadati; Pseudomonadota; Alphaproteobacteria.
GCUUUGCGACGCUACCAUGCGAGUCGAACGAAGUAGCAAUACUUAGUGGCAGACGGGUGAGUAACAUGUGGGUAUCUACCCUUUGGCCUGGAAUAACACGAGGAAACUUGUGCUAAUACCGGAUAAGUCUUUACGGAGAAAGCUUUAUGCACCAUUGGAUGAGCCCGCACUUGAUUAGUUUGUUGGUAGGGUAAUGGCCUACCAAGACUAUGAUCAAUAGCUGAUUUGAGAGGAUGAUCAGCCACAUUGGGACUGAGACACGGCCCAAACUCCUACGGGAGGCAGCAGUGGGGAAUCUUGCACAAUGGAGGAAACUCUGAUGCAGCGAUGCCGCGUGAGUGAAGAAGGCCUUUGGGUUGUAAAGCUCUUUCGUCGGGGAAGAAAAUGACUGUACCCGAAUAAGAAGGUCCGGCUAACUUCGUGCCAGCAGCCGCGGUAAC